This 253-nucleotide ribosomal RNA is filed under the name uncultured bacterium. RNAcentral describes it as "partial 16S ribosomal RNA". It matches the Rfam family "Bacterial small subunit ribosomal RNA", at positions 524 to 776 of the family's 1533-position model. The record is from RNAcentral.
UACGUAGGGCGCAAGCGUUGUCCGGACUCAUUGGGCGUAAAGCGCGCGUAGGUGGCCUCAUAAGUCCGCUGUGAAAGUCAAAGGCUCAACCUUUGAAAGCCGGUGGAUACUGUGAGGCUAGAGUACGGAAGAGGCGAGUGGAAUUCCUGGUGUAGCGGUGGAAUGCGCAGAUAUCAGGAGGAACACCAAUAGCGAAGGCAGCUCGCUGGGACGUUACUGACACUGAGGCGCGAAAGCGUGGGGAGCGAACAGG